This 253-nucleotide ribosomal RNA is filed under the name uncultured bacterium. RNAcentral describes it as "partial 16S ribosomal RNA". It matches the Rfam family "Bacterial small subunit ribosomal RNA", at positions 524 to 776 of the family's 1533-position model. The record is from RNAcentral.
UACGUAGGGACCGAGCGUUGUCCGGAAUCAUUGGGCGUAAAGAGCGUGUAGGCGGCUAUUUAAGUCCUGCGUGAAAUCCUGCGGCUCAACCGCAGACGGUCGUGGGAAACUGGAUGGCUAGAGUGCGGGAGAGGAGAGUGGAAUUCCCGGUGUAGCGGUGAAAUGCGCAGAUAUCGGGAGGAACACCGGUGGCGAAGGCGGUUCUCUGGGCCUUACCUGACGCUGAGGAGCGAAAGCGUGGGGAGCGAACAGG